This 253-nucleotide ribosomal RNA is filed under the name uncultured bacterium. Its description in RNAcentral is "partial 16S ribosomal RNA". It matches the Rfam family "Bacterial small subunit ribosomal RNA", at positions 524 to 776 of the family's 1533-position model. The record is from RNAcentral.
UACGGAGGAUGCGGGCGUUAUCCGGAUUCAUUGGGUUUAAAGGGUGCGCAGGCGGGGCAUUAAGUCAGUGGUGAAAUAAGACGGCUCAACUGUCUGGCUGCCAUUGAUACUGAUGUUCUAGAGUGUAAUUGGAGUGGGCGGAAUGUGUCAUGUAGCGGUGAAAUGCUUAGAUAUGACACAGAACACCGAUCGCGAAGGCAGCUCACUAAGUUAAUACUGACGCUCAUGCACGAAAGCGUGGGGAUCAAACAGG